Molecule: ribosomal RNA, 253 nt
Filed under: uncultured bacterium
Lineage: Bacteria
Also listed under: 1 other name
Description: partial 16S ribosomal RNA
Rfam family: Bacterial small subunit ribosomal RNA
Source: RNAcentral
AACGUAGGGGGCCAGCGUUGCUCGGAAUUACUGGGCGUAAAGGGUCCGUAGGCGGUGUGGCAAGUCGGGAGUGAAAUCUCAUGGCUUAACUGUGAGACUGCUUCCGAAACUGCUGUGCUCGAGUGCGGGAGAGGCGAGUGGAAUUGCCGGUGUAGCGGUGAAAUGCGUAGAUAUCGGCAGGAACACCCGUGGCGAAGGCGGCUCGCUGGACCGCAACUGACGCUGAGGGACGAAAGCUAGGGGAGCAAACAGG